This 253-nucleotide ribosomal RNA is filed under the name uncultured bacterium. Its description in RNAcentral is "partial 16S ribosomal RNA". It matches the Rfam family "Bacterial small subunit ribosomal RNA", at positions 524 to 776 of the family's 1533-position model. The record is from RNAcentral.
UACGAAGGGGGCUAGCGUUGCUCGGAAUUACUGGGCGUAAAGGGAGCGUAGGCGGGUCGACAAGUUGGAGGUGAAAGCCCAGGGCUCAACCUUGGAAUUGCCUUCAAAACUGUCGAUCUUGAGUAUGGGAGAGGUAAGCGGAACUCCGAGUGUAGAGGUGAAAUUCGUAGAUAUUCGGAAGAACACCAGUGGCGAAGGCGGCUUACUGGCCCAUUACUGACGCUGAGGCUCGAAAGCGUGGGGAGCAAACAGG